GACGAACGCUGGCGGCGUGCUUAACACAUGCAAGUCGAACGGAAAGGCCCUGCUUGCCGGGUGCUCGAGUGGCGAACGGGUGAGUAACACGUGGGUGAUCUGCCCCUUACUUUGGGAUAAGCCUGGGAAACUGGGUCUAAUACUGGAUAGGACCAUGCUGUAGGUGGUGUGGUGGAAAGAUUAGUUUCGGUAAGGGAUGAGCUCGCGGCCUAUCAGCUUGUUGGUGGGGUAAUGGCCUACCAAGGCGUCGACGGGUAGCCGGCCUGAGAGGGUGGACGGCCACAUUGGGACUGAGAUACGGCCCAGACUCCUACGGGAGGCAGCAGUGGGGAAUAUUGCACAAUGGGCGCAAGCCUGAUGCAGCGACGCCGCGUGGGGGAUGACGGCCUUCGGGUUGUAAACUCCUUUCAGCCAUGACGAAGCCCUUGUGGUGACGGUAGUGGUAGAAGAAGCACCGGCUAACUACGU
This 468-nucleotide ribosomal RNA is filed under the name uncultured bacterium. RNAcentral's name for it is "partial 16S ribosomal RNA". It matches the Rfam family "Bacterial small subunit ribosomal RNA", at positions 28 to 506 of the family's 1533-position model. The record is from RNAcentral.